This 483-nucleotide ribosomal RNA is filed under the name uncultured bacterium. Its description in RNAcentral is "partial 16S ribosomal RNA". It matches the Rfam family "Bacterial small subunit ribosomal RNA", at positions 29 to 506 of the family's 1533-position model. The record is from RNAcentral.
AUUGAACGCUGGCGGCAUGCUUUACACAUGCAAGUCGAACGGCAGCGCGGGCUUCGGCCUGGCGGCGAGCGGCGAACGGGUGAGUAAUACAUCGGAACGUGCCCAGUAGUGGGGGAUAGCUCGGCGAAAGCCGGAUUAAUACCGCAUACGACCUGAGGGUGAAAGCGGGGGAUCUUCGGACCUCGCGCUAUUGGAGCGGCCGAUGGCAGAUUAGCUAGUUGGUGGGGUAAAGGCCUACCAAGGCGACGAUCUGUAGCUGGUCUGAGAGGACGACCAGCCACACUGGGGCUGAGACACGGCCCAGACUCCUACGGGAGGCAGCAGUGGGGAAUUUUGGACAAUGGGCGAAAGCCUGAUCCAGCAAUGCCGCGUGUGUGAUGAAGGCCUUCGGGUUGUAAAGCACUUUUGGCGGGAACGAAAAGGACUGUGCCAAUACCACGGUUCGAUGACGGUACCCGCAGAAUAAGCACCGGCUAACUACGU